UCUCUCUCCCCUCCGUGUUAUUUAUCCUGCUUUUUGGGAAAAAUAACAUAUAAGUCAAGUUAUAUUUUAAAAAGAACAGUGUUCAUCCAUGUUUCUUAUCAAAUAUGUGCAGUGUUUGUGUUGAUUUUAUGAAGUACAAAUAGGAAUGUGGUCAUUUUUUUUGUUGUUUUGAUAAAAUUCAGGGUGCCAUUGGCCAUCUCCUUGGAGCAGCUGGUUCUGUUGAAGCAAUUUUCUCAGUUUUGGCCAUACACCAUGUAAGCAAUUGCAUAUACUUGCUUCCUUCUUGAUUAAGAUAAAACAAAGCAAUGCCACAGUAUGAGCUAUUAAUUAAUUAAUUACCUGCUUGACUGUAAAUCCAAAGCCCAUUGUACAUGCAUGCAUGUGUAGUGUCUGUGCAUGUAUUAAAAGACGAGAUUUUCAAGUAUUAGGUCUAGUUAAGUAAUACCAUGUUCUUUUAUCAUACGUACUCCUGUAUCACAGUAUGGCUGAAAGGGGAAAAUUGUCUGGGCUUGCCUUUUGCUUCAAAAGUCCCACUCCAAACUUAUUGCUUC
RNAcentral lists this unclassified non-coding RNA (551 nucleotides) under Hevea brasiliensis (rubber tree). Lineage: Eukaryota; Viridiplantae; Streptophyta; Magnoliopsida; Malpighiales; Euphorbiaceae. The record is from RNAcentral.